Molecule: long non-coding RNA, 1075 nt
Organism: Sapajus apella (tufted capuchin)
Lineage: Eukaryota; Metazoa; Chordata; Mammalia; Primates; Cebidae
Exons: 3
Source: RefSeq, a predicted model, not a curated record
UAAGAGCAUUGGCAUCUAUUAGGAGGUGACACAGACCUUCUUGGUGAGAGGAAUCCUGCCUUAGGAAGGAAUGAAUGUGUGAAAUGCUCUGCCAGUCUUUGGUGUGGGAGUGGGAGAGGAGAGCGUCAAAGAUGACUUCAAAGAACCUGGGCUUGAGUGUUGAGGAAAGAUGGCAAAGCUACUGAGAUGAGAUCUUUAGCAGGAAAAGUAGGGUUUAUAUUAGGGAGGCUGGGGCAUGGGAGAGGUCAAAGAUGGGGGGAGAACAUAAGUUUAGUUUAACUUGGUGGGACUCUUCCCACAAGGAAAAACCUUCUUCACCUUGUUACACAUUAAGAUCACCUAAAGAGCUUUUAAAAUUGAUAAUUGAGUCUCAUCCAAGACCAGUUACGCUUAUAUUUCUGAGUACAGAGCCUGUUUUUUUUUAAAUAUUCACAAGAAGUCUAGUGUGUGGCAAAAUGGGAAUCACGAUCUAGAUCAGUAUUCUCCUUGUGGCCCAUGUGUUACAAUCACCUGGAGGCCUUAUGAACCAUACUCAUGUCUCGGACCCACUACCGAAGAGUCUAUUUAGUGAGUCUGGGAUAGGACCUGGGCAUCUGUGUUAAAAUGAAGUCUGUCUGGAUAAAAGCAAUACAAUGUAAUGCAGCCAGAAUUGAGAACCACUGACCUAGAUAGUUAAUUUUCACUGUGAAUAAUCAGUGUUUUCAGGGUUGCGAGCCAUGGCAAGGAGGCACUAUGAAAGAGUCUCUUUAAACUUUUGGCAGGUCCAGAAUUAGCAUGAAAUUGCUGGGUGCCAGCAGGAGCAUGGGGACAGGAGCAGUCAGAGGAUGAAUCCUAUGGACUCUGAAGACCCAACCUGGAUCAACACCUGGUGUUUGAACCAUAAGGGCUUGUUAGUGCUAAUCCUGUAUCACUUAGAGAUGGUGGGAAAUGGCCUGAAAAGGCGUAUAGAGUAUAAAAUGUCAUGGUGCCAUCUGAACCCGUGUUGUCCCAUUCAAAUUGAGCUUUCUCUACAGCAGCACCUGAAAAACUCAACUUCUACCAUUUCCUUUGAGGAGGUAAAUUCAGUCUGAGAUUU